GCAAUGCAGUUUGCUUGUACACGUCGCGCCGCCUAGCAGCGGUGAUUAGAACCCACGGGGCGGCCCUUCGCGCCAUUCCACCGUUGUGCGCAUUGCGAACAGGCGCAAUGGAUUUACCGCAGCCCGUUGACAACUCCGUCGUCAGAGGUGGAAAAAAAAAGAACAAACGCAGAUACUGCUGCGUUAAAGAUUGCCACAAUAAAGAAGGGGAUGUCGGCAUCAUGAUGUAUCGCUUCCCAUCGAGACCGUGGGAAGCAACUCGGUGGCAGAAGUGGAUCGCAGCUGUUCGGCGCGUCAAUGCCGAUGACCUGUCAUCUUGGCAACCGAACGAGAAUACCAGGAUAUGCUCGAGGCAUUUCGUCAACGGCGAAAAAAGCACCAUCGAGCAUCAUCCUGGUUACCUUCCUACAAUAUUUCCUCCUGUAUACAAGAGGCGGUCGACAGCUCCUGCUCAACAGCUUUCGAGGUU
Long non-coding RNA from Rhipicephalus sanguineus (brown dog tick), 469 nucleotides. RefSeq lists it as uncharacterized. The record is from RefSeq and is a predicted model, not a curated record. Lineage: Eukaryota; Metazoa; Arthropoda; Arachnida; Ixodida; Ixodidae. The transcript is spliced from 2 exons.